RNAcentral lists this ribosomal RNA (403 nucleotides) under Verrucomicrobiota bacterium. Its description in RNAcentral is "Verrucomicrobia bacterium partial 16S ribosomal RNA". It matches the Rfam family "Bacterial small subunit ribosomal RNA", at positions 355 to 776 of the family's 1533-position model. The record is from RNAcentral. Lineage: Bacteria; Pseudomonadati; Verrucomicrobiota.
UGGGGAAUAUUGCACAAUGGGCGCAAGCCUGAUGCAGCAACGCCGCGUGAACGAUGAAGGUCUUCGGAUCGUAAAGUUCUGUUGCAGGGGAAGAUAAUGACGGUACCCUGUGAGGAAGCCCCGGCUAACUACGUGCCAGCAGCCGCGGUAAUACGUAGGGGGCUAGCGUUAUCCGGAUUUACUGGGCGUAAAGGGUGCGUAGGUGGUCUUUCAAGUCGGUGGUUAAAGGCUACGGCUCAACCGUAGUUAGCCUCCGAAACUGGAAGACUUGAGUGCAGGAGAGGAAAGUGGAAUUCCCAGUGUAGCGGUGAAAUGCGUAGAUAUUGGGAGGAACACCAGUAGCGAAGGCGGCUUUCUGGACUGCAACUGACACUAAGGCACGAAAGCGUGGGUAGCAAACAGG